Molecule: ribosomal RNA, 498 nt
Filed under: uncultured bacterium
Lineage: Bacteria
Description: partial 16S ribosomal RNA
Rfam family: Bacterial small subunit ribosomal RNA
Source: RNAcentral
AUUGAACGCUGGCGGCAUGCUUUACACAUGCAAGUCGAACGGGGUGAGGGGGCAACUCCCCAUUCAGUGGCGAACGGGUGAGUAAUGCAUCGGAACGUGUCCCGUAGUGGGGGAUAACGCCGGGAAACCGGCGCUAAUACCGCAUAUGCUCUACGGAGGAAAGUGGGGGACCGCAAGGCCUCACGCUAUGGGAGCGGCCGAUGUCCGAUUAGCUUGUUGGCGGGGUAAAGGCCCACCAAGGCGACGAUCGGUAGCUGGUCUGAGAGGAUGAUCAGCCACACUGGGAGGGAGACACGGUCCAGACUCCUACGGGAGGCAGCAGUGGGGAAUUCUGGACAAUGGACGCAAGUCUGAUCCAGCCAUUCCGCGUGCAGGAUGAAGGCCCUCGGGUUGUAAACUGCUUUUGUACGGAACGAGAAGGUCUCUCUUAAUACGGGGGACUCAUGACGGUACCGUAAGAAUAAGCACCGGCUAACUACGUGCCAGCCGCCGCCGUAA